RNAcentral lists this ribosomal RNA (253 nucleotides) under uncultured bacterium. RNAcentral's name for it is "partial 16S ribosomal RNA". It matches the Rfam family "Bacterial small subunit ribosomal RNA", at positions 524 to 776 of the family's 1533-position model. The record is from RNAcentral.
UACAGAGGGGGCAAGCGUUGUUCGGAAUCAUUGGGCGUAAAGGGCGCGUAGGCGGCCGAUCAAGUCGGAGGUGAAAUCCCUCGGCUCAACUGAGGAAUUGCCUCCGAUACUGUUCGGCUUGAGUCCUGGAGAGGGUAGUGGAAUUCCCAGUGUAGCGGUGAAAUGCGUAGAGACUGGGAAGAACACCAGUGGCGAAGGCGGCUACCUGGACAGGUACUGACGCUGAAGCGCGAAAGCUAGGGGAGCAAACAGG